RNAcentral lists this ribosomal RNA (321 nucleotides) under Triticum aestivum (bread wheat). Its description in RNAcentral is "partial small subunit ribosomal RNA". The record is from RNAcentral. Lineage: Eukaryota; Viridiplantae; Streptophyta; Magnoliopsida; Poales; Poaceae.
AUGCGACUGUUCUUCAAGCUCUUCGCCGUCUUGGCCAUCAUGGCUGCUCUGUCGGCCACAAAUGUGCCGUCGCUAGUUGGUGUAUGGGGGAGGACGCCGGGGAGAGCCCCACCUUCGCCGAGGUCGUCCCCGCGUAGGAGUUCCGCGAAACCGACUCGUCCCAGGCCACCGCCUCCGCCACCGGCGCAGAAGGGCAGAGUGAGGCCACUGCGUUCACCGCCCCCGCCUCCACCACCACCACCACCACCACCGCCACCACCAUAUCGCCAACGAGGCGUCCGCCCUACGCAGUCUCCUGCACUACCACUACCGUGCCACUAG